CAAAAAAUAGUUUAUUAGAAUAUUAAUUUUGGGAAUUAAUGGCGUGUAACUUUAAGUAUACUUUUUUGA
Molecule: transfer RNA, 69 nt
Filed under: Pseudomyrmex ferrugineus
Lineage: Eukaryota; Metazoa; Arthropoda; Insecta; Hymenoptera; Formicidae
Description: tRNA-Pro
Source: RNAcentral